AGUGAACGCUGGCGGUAGGCCUAACACAUGCAAGUCGAACGGCAGCACAGGAGAGCUUGCCCUCUGGGUGGCGAGUGGCGGACGGGUGAGGAAUACAUCGGAAUCUACUCUGUCGUGGGGGAUAACGUAGGGAAACUUACGCUAAUACCGCAUACGACCUACGGGUGAAAGCAGGGGACCUUCGGGCCUUGCGCGAUUGAAUGAGCCGAUGUCGGAUUAGCUAGUUGGCGGGGUAAAGGCCCACCAAGGCGACGAUCCGUAGCUGGUCUGAGAGGAUGAUAAGCCAGACUGGAACUGAGACACGGUCCAGACUCCUACGGGAGGCAGCAGUGGGGAAUAUUGGACAAUGAGCGCAAGCCUGAUCCAGCCAUACCGCGUGGGUGAAGAAGGCCUUCGGGUUGUAAAGCCCUUUUGUUGGGAAAGAAAUCCAGCUGGCUAAUACCCGGUUGGGAUGACGGUACCCAAAGAAUAAGCACCGGCUAACUUCGUGCCAGCCGCCGCGGUAA
Molecule: ribosomal RNA, 506 nt
Filed under: uncultured bacterium
Lineage: Bacteria
Description: partial 16S ribosomal RNA
Rfam family: Bacterial small subunit ribosomal RNA
Source: RNAcentral